This 787-nucleotide ribosomal RNA is filed under the name uncultured Staphylococcus sp. Its description in RNAcentral is "bacterial SSU rRNA". It matches the Rfam family "Bacterial small subunit ribosomal RNA", at positions 84 to 857 of the family's 1533-position model. Lineage: Bacteria; Bacillati; Bacillota; Bacilli; Caryophanales; Staphylococcaceae. The record is from RNAcentral.
CUCUGAUGUUAGCGGCGGACGGGUGUGUAACACGUGGAUAACCUACCUAUAAGACUGGGAUAACUUCGGGAAACCGGAGCUAAUACCGGAUAAUAUUUUGAACCGCAUGGUUCAAAAGUGAAAGACGGUCUUGCUGUCACUUAUAGAUGGAUCCGCGCUGCAAUAGCUAGUUGGUAAGGUAACGGCUUACCAAGGCAACGAUGCAUAGCCGACCUGAGAGGGUGAUCGGCCACACUGGAACUGAGACACGGUCCAGACUCCUAAGGGAGGCAGCAGUAGGGAAUCUUCCGCAAUGGGCGAAAGCCUGACGGAGCAACGCCGCGUGAGUGAUGAAGGUCUUCGGAUCGUAAAACUCUGUUAUUAGGGAAGAACAUAUGUGUAAGUAACUGUGCACAUCUUGACGGUACCUAAUCAGAAAGCCACGGCUAACUACGUGCCAGCAGCCGCGGUAAUACGUAGGUGGCAAGCGUUAUCCGGAAUUAUUGGGCGUAAAGCGCGCGUAGGCGGUUUUUUAAGUCUGAUGUGAGAGCCCACGGCUCAACCGUGGAGGGUCAUUGGAAACUGGAAAACUUGAGCGCAGAAGAGGAAAGUGGAAUUCCAUGUGUAGCGGUGAAAUGCGCAGAGAUAUGGAGGAACACCAGUGGCGAAGGCGACUUUCUGGUCUGUAACUGACGCUGAUGUGCGAAAGCGUGGGGAUCAAACAGGAUUAGAUACCCUGGUAGUCCACGCCGUAAACGAUGAGUGCUAAGUGUUAGGGGGUUUCCGCCCCUUAGUGCUGCAGCUAACG